UUGUUUAACUGAACAGACUUAGCUGUCAUAAGGUCAAAAUUGCAAAAAAUAACAUGCUUCAAAGUUCUUAUAUCUGUAUAUAAUUAUAAGUUUAUAACAUACGCCACAUUCUACAUAACUGGUGCAGGCAAACAAUGAGUCGAGCACAAUAUCAUAUUCUGCUGGUGAGCUAUUUCUGUCUGUUGUCAACUUGAACCAUUGCCAUGACUUUUGAACGGUGAGAGAUAGAGACUUCAUAUUUGGUAUGCAUACUACGAUAAUUAAGUUCUUUGAAAUGCAACAAGGUCAAUGACCUUGUGACUUUGACUGUAACUAUAUGUUAAAAUAGCUUUUUCGAACUUUUGCCAUAACUGUUUAUCUGUGUCUGUCUGUUGUCAACUUAAACCUUCACAAUAACUUUAGAACUAUAUGAGAUAGUGAAAUCAUAUUUAGUAUGCAUACUCCACUUAUGAAGUGCUUUCACAUGACAACAAGGACAAUGAUUAUGUGAUCUUGACUGUGACCUAUAUGCUAAAAAAAUUGCUUUUUCGAACUUUGUUCAGCCAGGCACAUAGUGUUUUACAAGCGCAUCUUGUUCUUAUUUUUUCUCCCAUCCCGGUUGUUGCUAAUGCUAUUACAUAAUUAGUUUAAAUUAGAAUGAAAUAGUACCUGAACAUAAUUUAUCAUUUCAGAGAGAAGAAAACUGCAUGACUUUAAAAAGAAAACCAGUGAGAUAAAAUCAUAUAAAAUGUAUGAUGAUUCAGGAUGUGGUCAUUUGAGUCCUGUUCUGUGGAUGCCCUUAGACAGUGUGUCUACCCAUCACGCCAUCUGAUAUCACUUGUUCUGAGCAUAUUUCUCUCUCAAACUUAAACUACAGAGAGCCUGUGGAUAGAGGAUGAAGAGUGACCUUGGACUACUUUUCUAGGUCAAAGAUCAUAGGUGAUGUGAAGAAAAUACCAAGGAACUGAUGUUGAAAGAAGUACUUAAUGACACUUAUGAAUGGACUUCAACGUGAAAGACUGUUCCAUUGUUUAUCUAAGAUAUAUGAAUUUUGAUAUCAUUGAAAAAUACUGUUACAGUUUUUGUACAUCAAAUGAAUUAUUAAACAUAUAAAAUGGUAAUGCUUUUUUCUCUUACAUGUAAUAAUUUUUUAUAUAGAUUCACUGAAAAGAAUAUACAUAAUUUCACAUCGCUUCCUUCAGAAAAGUUAGGAAAUCUUGAAGUUUCCCAGUAAUUUCAACCAGGAAUGGGACUCAAGAUAAUUCCACCAAGUUUCCGCCACACAGAAACUGCUACACAAGUUCCAUAUCGUUUCCUGAGUCAGGAAACUUUAGGAAUCGUUAGGUUUCACGAGCUUCCAUGUAGUUUCCCGUAAUAGGAAACCUUAAGAUUCCAUCAAGUUUCCAUUCCACGGAAGCCACUACGCUCCGAUUCCAUGUGGUUUCCUGAGUCACGGAAACUUUAGGAAUCGUGAGGUUUCCCGAGCUUCCAUGUAGUUUCCCGUAAAAGGAAACCUAAAGAUUCCACCAAGUUUCCAUUCCACGGAAACCCCCUACGCUCCGAUUCCAUCAAGUUUCCUGAUUCUGGAAACCAGUGGAAUCUUGAGGUUUCCCAUUACGGGAAACUACAUGGAUAUUCGGGAAACUUCAGGUUUACAGAGGUUUCCGUGGUUCGGGAUACCUUAUGGAAUCGGAGCGUAGGGGGUUUCCGUGUAACGGAAACUUGGCGGAAUAACCUAGCAUCCGCUACGGAAACCACUGGGAAACAUGAUGUAAACUUGAGGUUUCCAUGUGGUUUCCAUAAAGUUUCCCAUGACGGGAAACCACUUUU
Long non-coding RNA from Saccostrea cuccullata (small rock oyster), 1809 nucleotides. RefSeq lists it as uncharacterized. Lineage: Eukaryota; Metazoa; Mollusca; Bivalvia; Ostreida; Ostreidae. The record is from RefSeq and is a predicted model, not a curated record. The transcript has 3 exons.